This 522-nucleotide ribosomal RNA is filed under the name uncultured Actinomycetes bacterium. RNAcentral's name for it is "bacterial SSU rRNA". It matches the Rfam family "Bacterial small subunit ribosomal RNA", at positions 360 to 896 of the family's 1533-position model. The record is from RNAcentral. Lineage: Bacteria; Bacillati; Actinomycetota; Actinomycetes.
AAUCUUGCGCAAUGGGGGAAACCCUGACGCAGCGACGCCGCGUGCGGGAUGAAGGCCUUCGGGUUGUAAACCGCUUUCAGCAGGGACGAAAUUGACGGUACCUGCAGAAGAAGGCCCGGCCAACUACGUGCCAGCAGCCGCGGUAAUACGUAGGGGCCUAGCGUUGUCCGGAUUUAUUGGGCGUAAAGAGCUCGUAGGCGGUUCGGCAAGUCGGAUGUGAAAUCUCCACGCUUAACGUGGAGGGGCCAUUCGAAACUGCCGUGACUCGAGUCCGGUAGGGGAGUGUGGAAUUCCUGGUGUAGCGGUGAAAUGCGCAGAUAUCAGGAGGAACACCAGUAGCGAAGGCGGCACUCUGGGCCGGUACUGACGCUGAGGAGCGAAAGCGUGGGGAGCGAACAGGAUUAGAUACCCUGGUAGUCCACGCCGUAAACGUUGGGCACUAGGUGUGGGACUCUAUCGACGGGUUCCGUGCCGUAGCUAACGCAUUAAGUGCCCCGCCUGGGGAGUACGGCCGCAAGGCUA